UUGUAGCCUAGAUUGAAAUGAAAAGCUUCACGCAGCUAAAAAGUAUUUUUUCUUGGUCUUGCAAAGCGACUAAAAGAAGCUCUUGUAAGAACAAUAGAAAAAAUCUUUUUUGCAAGAGAACUUGUAAUAGAAAGCUGGAAUUGCU
RNAcentral lists this unclassified non-coding RNA (145 nucleotides) under Flavobacterium segetis. RNAcentral describes it as "Flavo-1 RNA". The record is from RNAcentral. Lineage: Bacteria; Pseudomonadati; Bacteroidota; Flavobacteriia; Flavobacteriales; Flavobacteriaceae.